UACCAGCACCCCGAGUGGUCGGGACGAUUAUUGGGCCUAAAGCGUCCGUAGCUGGCCUGUUAGAUGCCUGGGUAAAUCGGUGCGCUCAACGCACCGAACUCCGGGUAGACCGGCAGGCUCGAGACCGGGAGAGGCAUGGGCUACUCGCGGGGUAGGGGUAAAAUCCUGUAAUCCUGCGGGGAGGACCAGUGGCGAAGGCGCUACACUAGAACGGCUCUGACAGUGAGGGACGAAGCCCUGGGGCGCAAACCGG
This 253-nucleotide ribosomal RNA is filed under the name uncultured bacterium. Its description in RNAcentral is "partial 16S ribosomal RNA". It matches the Rfam family "Archaeal small subunit ribosomal RNA", at positions 474 to 727 of the family's 1478-position model. The record is from RNAcentral.